Molecule: ribosomal RNA, 391 nt
Filed under: Calvia quattuordecimguttata (cream-spotted lady beetle)
Lineage: Eukaryota; Metazoa; Arthropoda; Insecta; Coleoptera; Coccinellidae
Description: Calvia quatuordecimguttata (cream-spotted lady beetle) partial 12S ribosomal RNA
Source: RNAcentral
AGAGCGACGGGCGAUGUGUGCAUAUUUUAGUGCCUAAUCAUUAAAAAAAAGUUUAAUUAAUUACUUUCAAAUCCAAUUUCAUAAAAUUUUCCAAAUAAUAAAAUCCAUAAAUAAAAUUUACUGUAACCCAUUACAUCCUAAAUAUAAACUUCACCUUGAUCUGAUUUAUUUUUUUAAAAAAAUCUUAAAUAUUAAAUUCUUGUAAAAUAUUUAAUAACGAUGAUAUAAAAAUUUCUAACCUAGGUUAAUUCAAUCGUGGAUUAUCAAUUAAUGAACAGGUUCCUCUGAAAAGAUUAAAAUACCGCCAAAUUAUUUAGCUUUAAAGAACUUAACUAUUAAUCACUUAGUUUUUUAAUUUACAUUUAAAAUAAUAGGGUAUCUAAUCCUAGUU